RNAcentral lists this ribosomal RNA (255 nucleotides) under uncultured bacterium. RNAcentral describes it as "partial small subunit ribosomal RNA". It matches the Rfam family "Bacterial small subunit ribosomal RNA", at positions 26 to 285 of the family's 1533-position model. The record is from RNAcentral.
AGGACGAACGCUGGCGGCGUGCUUAACACAUGCAAGUCGAGCGGAAAGGCCCUUCGGGGUACUCGAGCGGCGAACGGGUGAGUAACACGUGAGCAACCUGCCCCUGGCUCUGGGAUAGCCUCCGGAAACGGGGAUUAAUACCGGACAUGACCUGCUGCCGCAUGGUGGCGGGUGGUAAGUUUUCGGCCAGGGUGGGGCUCGCGGCCUAUCAGCUUGGUUGGGGGGGUGACGGCCCACCGAAGGCGACGACGGGUA